GACAGAGGUGCCAAGCGUUAGGCGGAAUCACUGGGCUUAAAGCGUGUGUAGGCGGGUCGUUAAGUACCUUGUGAAAUCCCCCGGCUCAACCGGGGAACGGCUGGGUAUACUGGCGAUCUUGAGCGACCUAGGGGCAGUCGGAACAAGUGGUGGAGCGGUGAAAUGACGUAGAUAUCACUUGGAACGCCAAUGGUGAAAACAGACUGCUGGGGGUUCGCUGAACGCUGAGACGACGAAAGCCAGGGGAGCAAACGGGAUUAAGC
Molecule: ribosomal RNA, 263 nt
Filed under: uncultured bacterium
Lineage: Bacteria
Description: partial 16S ribosomal RNA
Rfam family: Bacterial small subunit ribosomal RNA
Source: RNAcentral